This 1611-nucleotide long non-coding RNA is filed under the name Bemisia tabaci. RNAcentral describes it as "lncRNA ENSSSA2NGG010687". The record is from RNAcentral. Lineage: Eukaryota; Metazoa; Arthropoda; Insecta; Hemiptera; Aleyrodidae.
AAUGAGCUCCUACUGGACGUAGCAAGGCUAGAGCAACUUGUUGAAAAUUCAGUGGCUUUGUCGGUGCAUGAUGACUUGAAGCAUCAAAAUUUUGAUCUGUCGAUCAAAUACAAAGCUCUAUUGAAUAAGCAACCUGCUUUUAUCAGUGCUGGUGAUGCUCUAUCGAAGUUUGAAAUCGAAAAUCAGAGACUGAUCGCUGAAACAGAUAGCAAAAUAAAUGGAAUGUUGAAGACCCUUGAAAAACUUUCUCCAACCGGGAUAAAGCACCUUCUGAUCAGGUCUCCAGUCCUUCAGUUCUUUCUCCAUUUUACUUUGAAAGAGAAAAUAAGAAAUUUGAAGAGGACUACAUGGCACCCUCCACUUUUAGUUGUAGGGAAGAUUUUGUCCCUGUUUUGCUGACAAUCCCAGCCAAUUUUCGCAAUCGGUUGGCUGGUGACAGAAUAUUUAGCCCUUAUAGGACAUAACAGAGGGGCUGUUUUCCAGGUUUCACUGCUCAACGAACAGUUGUCUGCAAGCAAUGCAAAGUUACUGGUUGAAAAACAGAGAGCUGAGUACCUUGCUAAAGUUAAUCAGUCAAUGAAAGAUCAACUCAUGGAAACGGAGACAAGAUGUCAAAACCUUCAAAGUAGUCUGACAGAAGUGGAAGAAAGUUGCCGUAAGCUUGAAUUAUCAGAAGCAAUCCUUCGAGAUAAAUUGUUCUCUUUUAUUGAUUCUGAUUCCUACAAUCAACUCCAGAAGAAGUGUUUAGACCUGGAAAAACGUCUUGUUUUCAUGGACUCAGAACACCAGCGUCUGACAGCUGAAUGCGAUUUAAUUCGCACGUCAACCUCAAAAUUUGUUGUUGAGCAUAAUAUCAUGCAGCUCAAAUUUGAUUCACUGAAGAGACAGGUUCUUGAGCUUCAGUCAGCUAGUGAUGACAAGUUGCUUCUAGGACAAUUGAUGCAAGAAGUAGAAUUUGUUCGCGAGAAAAGUCUUAAAGAUGAAGCCGAAAUUGAGGAGUUAAAACUGAAAAUUCAAGGGCUGGAAUCAACCAACCACCAACUAAAAAUUAAGCUCAGCGAAAGUGCAACUGUGAAUGUCAAUUGCAAGGACAAUUUUUUGCGGAAGCAGAGAUUGUUUCAAGAAAUUGUGGCUGGCUUGCUGGAACAUUGGGUUGAUGGAAUUCCGCGACCAACCAGGGAGUGUUGGGUUGAAAAGAUGAGGAGGCUCUCGGAAGAGAAAGCUUUUGCUUGGGAACAACUUAAACAGGCCCUGUCAGUCAAUGAUCAAAAAACCAUUGAGCUUCUAGAAAAUCAACCCCUGCUGAAGUCAAACAAGCUAAAUUACAGGUACCUUCAUCAUCAGGUCUUCUCAGUGAUUUAAACAUCGAAUAGUUUUUUCCUCAUUCGAGGUUAAAGUAAGCGUGAUCACUUUUAUUUGAAAAGCACUUUGGUGCAUUUAAAUCAGUGUCAUGUACUCAGUGAGAUUAAUGUCUUUUUUUCCUGCAUCAUCAAGUCAAUAAUAUUUUUAGAAUUUACAGUAAUUUUAAGUGACUCAAAACUUACAAUAGUUUUUACUCAUUGUUCUUUUUCCAGAGUAUCAUUACAGCUAACAGCUGAGAAGUUGGAAGCG